Molecule: non-coding RNA, 324 nt
Organism: Vicia faba (fava bean)
Lineage: Eukaryota; Viridiplantae; Streptophyta; Magnoliopsida; Fabales; Fabaceae
Source: the annotation of a GenBank genome assembly
AUGGGCAUGCCCGAACGCAAAAAAGGCUAUCCGAGAUACUCUUUGGUUCCCUCCCAAGCAAGGCUAGAAUCAAAGGAGGAACUCCCGACUCAAAUAGGUAUGAUAUCGAAGUGGACUCAAUUGUCCAAUGUCUUCUCUGAUGCUAUUAUUUUGUUGAGUACUCAAAACAAGAUGAACAAGCGAGAGGAAAGAACCUCACAUAAGCAAGCAGUUCGGUCUACUCGCUUUUGGCUUGGGCUUUGCGAAUGGAACUUGCAUUCUCGAAAAACAGGGCUCGUUCACUUGGCUUCUCACUUCGGAAUGCUAGAGGAAUGGUUGACCUAA